AUGGCGGGCGGGGCUCGUGAGGCGGAACGCGGCCUCCACAGGAUGCCCCGACACGGGGACACCGCGAAGAGACUCGGCCGGGACGGCAGGAGCGCUGCGGGGAGCUGGGAGGAGCUGAGCUGUGGAGGUGAGCGAGGGCCGGGAGGCGGCCCACACAGCGGGCUGUGCGAAUGGGGCGGAGCGGGCGCGGCGCCUAUAGCAACAGCGGCCGCAAACACCGCCGGAGCGUCCCGGAGCGGGGCGGGCAGCGCGGAGGAGCCGGGCCGGGCUGACGGGCACACGGGCGUUCUGCGGGAACCCGAUGGCGGCUGCCGGAGCCUUCGCCUGUCCCCGCUGCCGCUUGGCCUUCGGCUCCUUGGCGCUGCUCAGGGCGCACCGAGAGCGGUUCUGCAUCGGGGCCCCGGCGGGCGGCGGGACCGGGGAGGAGCCGGGAAGGGCGGCGGGACGGCGGGAGCGAGCGGUAAUGCGGGACGGGUCCGCGGGACGAGGACGUGCAGUCCCAGCAGCCGCAGCUCCGUGCUGCAUGUCCGCGUGCUGCUGAGCGAUUCCCAUCCCGUUCGCCUCUUCAAGGUCACGAUGUCCCAGCACGAGGAUCAGCCCAAGCGACGCCAUGUGCUCCUGCUCUCCGGGCUCCCUCGGUCCCCUCUGGGACGUGAGGGCCCGGGCCGAGCCCGUGGGGCGCCCCUGGGUGACAUCCUCACACCCCGUGAGCGGGCGCUGCUCCGUGCCCCUGCUGUCAGCCGGCCGGCACAGCGGGGAGAGCCCAGCCCACCGCGGGGGGACCCACGAGUCCCGGAGCUGCUGGAGGCUCAUCAGCGCCACGUGGCUGAAAUCCGGGCCAGGACCCAGCAGCUGGAGCAGCAGAGAGAGCAGCUGAGCCGGCGCCUGGCAUUGCUGUGCAACAAGCAACUGUCACCAGAAAUGAACCGAGUCACGGAGGUGCCGUCAGACAGAGCUGGACACCAGCACCAAGGGGCUGCUGUCUACCUCGACACCCUCCUGCCACCCUCCGGGCCGCUGGCAGCUGAGGCCAGGGCACUGCGGCUCUCCUACCUGCGGGCUGGUGGCCACGAUGAGGCCACCCUGGCACAGCUGUUAGACCUCCAGCUGGAGGCCACGGCACUGGAGAAAAGGGCUGCACAGAAGAUGAGUAAGAACCAGCCCCAGCACAGAGCCCAGGGACAGGACCCCAUUGCUGUUGAGGCAGCACGGGGCCUGGAUGCGGCGCUGAUGGCUGUGGAGAUGGAGAACCAAAGGCUUGAGGGUGAGCUCCUGGCACUGAAGGUCCGGAGAGAGAUGCGAGCUGAUGUCGGAUCGCUGGCAUCCCAGCAGCGUGCAGAGGAGCUGGCUCAGCUGCAGGCAAAGAUGGAGAUUCUGCUGCGACGCCAAGCAGAGGGGAUGGGGCCGCGUCUGCCCCCUGCCGUCCUCCCACCGCCCGUGGCCCCUCCGCUCUCCCCAGCCUUCGCUCUAGCGGAUCCACUGAGGCCGACCCCGAGGACAGGAAGCCCCACAGCCUCCAGCCGCCCACUGGUGCCCUCCAGCCUCCCCAGCAUUCCCUUCGGAGCCCUGGAUGACCCCCCUCCUACUUAG
Molecule: long non-coding RNA, 1590 nt
Organism: Coturnix japonica (Japanese quail)
Lineage: Eukaryota; Metazoa; Chordata; Aves; Galliformes; Phasianidae
Product: coiled-coil domain containing 17
Source: Ensembl